AGGAGAACAAGGUAGGCCAUAAGGACAGAAUGUGUAUCGGGGUUAUAGACCACGACUUCCCAGGGAUCCCUCCUUAUCAAAGACGGCCUAGAGAGGAUGGCAAUGAAGAAGACUGUCUGUUAUACACAUCUCAC
Prionailurus viverrinus (fishing cat) is the source of this 134-nucleotide long non-coding RNA. RefSeq lists it as uncharacterized. The record is from RefSeq and is a predicted model, not a curated record. NCBI's taxonomy places the organism in Eukaryota, Metazoa, Chordata, Mammalia, Carnivora, Felidae. The transcript is spliced from 4 exons.